Molecule: ribosomal RNA, 253 nt
Filed under: uncultured bacterium
Lineage: Bacteria
Description: partial 16S ribosomal RNA
Rfam family: Bacterial small subunit ribosomal RNA
Source: RNAcentral
UACGUAGGGGGCAAGCGUUGUCCGGAUUUAUUGGGCGUAAAGAGCGUGUAGGCGGCCAGGUAGGUCCGCUGUGAAAACUCGAGGCUCAACCUCGAGAUGUCGGCGGAAACCAUCUGGCUAGAGUCCGGAAGAGGAGAGUGGAAUUCCUGGUGUAGCGGUGAAAUGCGCAGAUAUCAGGAAGAACACCCGUGGCGAAGGCGGCUCUCUGGGACGGUACUGACGCUGAGACGCGAAAGCGUGGGGAGCGAGCAGG